GCUCGAGUGGCGAACGGGUGAGUAACACGUGAGUAACCUGCCCUUGACUUUGGGAUAACUUCAGGAAACUGGGGCUAAUACCGGAUAGGAGCUCCUGCUGCAUGGUGGGGGUUGGAAAGUUUCGGCGGUUGGGGAUGGCUCGCGGCUUAUCAGCUUGUUGGUGGGGUAGUGGCUUACCAAGGCUUUGACGGGUAGCCGGCCUGAGAGGGUGACCGGCCACAUUGGGACUGAGAUACGGCCCAG
Molecule: ribosomal RNA, 243 nt
Filed under: uncultured Actinomycetales bacterium
Lineage: Bacteria; Bacillati; Actinomycetota; Actinomycetes; Actinomycetales
Description: partial 16S ribosomal RNA
Rfam family: Bacterial small subunit ribosomal RNA
Source: RNAcentral